RNAcentral lists this ribosomal RNA (916 nucleotides) under uncultured Bacillota bacterium. RNAcentral describes it as "bacterial SSU rRNA". It matches the Rfam family "Bacterial small subunit ribosomal RNA", at positions 1 to 917 of the family's 1533-position model. The record is from RNAcentral. Lineage: Bacteria; Bacillati; Bacillota.
UGGAUCCAGACUUUGAUUCUGGCUCAGGAUGAACGCUGGCGGCGUGCCUAAUACAUGCAAGUCGAACGCAUCACUUCGGUGAUGAGUGGCGAACGGGUGAGUAAAAGAUAAGGAACCUGUCCUUCACAGGGGGAUAACGAUCGGAAACGAACGCUAAGACCGCAUAGGUCAUUUGGUCGCAUGACCGAAUGAUUAAAUAUCCUACGGGAUAGGUAAAGGAGGGACUUAUCACGCAUUAGCUAGUUGGUGGGGCAACGGCCUACCAAGGCGACGAUGCGUAGCCGGCCUGAGAGGGCGGACGGCCACACUGGGACUGAGACACGGCCCAGACUCCUACGGGAGGCAGCAGUAGGGAAUUUUCGGCAAUGGGCGAAAGCCUGACCGAGCAACGCCGCGUGAACGAAGAAGGUCUUCGGAUCGUAAAGUUCUGUUAUCGAGGAAGAGCGAUGUAUAUAGGGAAUGAUAUACAAGAGACGGUACUCGAUGAGGAAGCCACGGCUAACUACGUGCCAGCAGCCGCGGUAAUACGUAGGUGGCGAGCGUUAUCCGGAAUUAUUGGGCGUAAAGAGGGAGCAGGCGGUCACGAGGGUCUAACGUUAAAAGGCAUCGGCUCAACCGAUGAAGGGCGAAGAAACCGGGUGACUAGAGUUCUAUAGAGGAUCGUGGAAUUCCAUGUGUAGCGGUGAAAUGCGUAGAUAUAUGGAGGAACACCAGUGGCGAAGGCGACGAUCUGGAUAGAAACAGACGCUGAGUCCCGAAAGCGUGGGGAGCAAAUAGGAUUAGAUACCCUAGUAGUCCACGCCGUAAACGAUGAGUACUAAGUGUUGGGAGUCAAAUCUCAGUGCUGUAGUUAACGCAAUAAGUACUCCGCCUGAGUAGUACGUUCGCAAGAAUGCAACUCAAAUGAAUUGACGGA